This 64-nucleotide transfer RNA is filed under the name Trichonephila clavata. RNAcentral's name for it is "tRNA-Gln". Lineage: Eukaryota; Metazoa; Arthropoda; Arachnida; Araneae; Nephilidae. The record is from RNAcentral.
UUUGUUAAAGUGUAUAUGCACAAAAAAAUUUGAUUUUUUAAGAGAUUUAAAUAAUCUAACAAGU